RNAcentral lists this long non-coding RNA (7990 nucleotides) under Malus domestica (apple). Its description in RNAcentral is "long non-coding RNA (MDOM_LNC001557)". The record is from RNAcentral. Lineage: Eukaryota; Viridiplantae; Streptophyta; Magnoliopsida; Rosales; Rosaceae.
GAAAAUAACUUCUGGACCUAUCCCACAACCAAGCAGCUUGUAUUUGAGCCGAAAUUUAGUUUAACUUGUAAUUGUGAUGAGAGGCUUCGUUCUGGCCAUUCAGGCUCGCCGAGAAGUAAUCUGCCGGAAUCAAACCUCCCUAGAAUCAUCUAAUUGGAAUACAAUACAUGGCUUACAGCAAUGGAAUCCAAAACCAACAUAAUUACAUAAAAAGAUCCGUCAACUAACAGAUCUCACAAUAUCUAAUAACAUCCGUUUAUCAGCAAAUAUUAAUGCAAAUGCCAACAAUUUAAAUGAUAAUCUCAUCCUCAGCUCAUAGAAUUUGAACUACCAUAACAUUAAUAACGAGGCAAUAAUCAGUGCAGAAGAGACUUUGGUAUCAUAAGGAUGACUGGUAAAAGUAAGCAGGAACGAAUCGGAGGUGUCGGGAAUUGUUUAGUAGGAUGACAACGUUUGUGCAUAAGUGGACAGAUAUUACCAACUAUAUCAAACAAAGUUUUGAUUCGUGGUUGGAUCUUUCGGUUGGAGCUUUAAAAUUGUGAUCAAGUAUUGUAAUUUAUAUUUUACAAUCAACAGAUAAAAUAAAUUUGCUCCCUUUAAAGUCGAUUGAAAACAAUUUGGAGUAAUUUGAGAUUGAUUGAACAACUCCACAGAUUGUAAGCAUCGUCCACUAGCAUCAUCAAUCAAUUACCAAGUUCCAACAAAGAUAAUUUAUAGUGUUUACAAAAUUAGAUAAAACCCAUAUUGAUUUGAGACAAUUUGAGCAAGAAGCUAAUUAAUUGUGCAAGUGAUUAUAUGUUCCCUGUGUGAGUGGCAGGCUUUAUUUAGCAUUAUUAGAUUGAUGAAAUCAGUUGAAAUAGAUUAAUACCUUUGGCGAUGAGAUAUCGAUGCGGCCGCAGUUGUCCAGAAUCCAUGUCCGACUGUUUGCAGUUGGGGGCGAGCGAAAAUAAGAGACAAAACAACAAGAAAGGACAGAGGACGCACACCACACACCGGAGGGGAGACCCUGGGCAAAAAUAAACCCCAUGCUGUCUCCCCUCUGAACCAAAAAUCGUUAUUUUUUUAUUGAGAUAUUUUUUUGACCUGCCAUGCAAGCGCACCUGCCAUGGCAAAGGCCGGAUGACAAAGAUCGGUCCAGCACUCGGCCCUUCCACCGAGCCUUUCGUCCCGAUAUCUUAUACAUCCAUCCGAAAUCAACCCAUAACCCCAACCCAAAUCCCACGAUAUAAAAGCUUCAGUCUCAUGAAAUUACAACCAUGAACCAUGACCCUUUGGUUAAGAUUAAACAUGCUUCGGCCACCACGAGAUCGAAUUGGAUCAGCUGCUGAAACGCCGCCGGAUACUUGUAAUCUCCUCCGAUUUGGUUAGAGCUCCGUCUGCGAAAUCUGUUUGGACGCCAAAACACACAUCAAUCAAAAUCUAUACGGAGCAGAAACACUAAAGCUAAAAUUCGUUGCAAAUUAAUAAAAUUUAAACAAAAAAGCAAAAACAAUAACGAUUUGAUACAAAAGUUCAUAUCCAGAUUAGUAAAACGAAUCGAAAACAUAUACGUACCUGUAAAUUCGAAUCGAAGAGCGACGAACACAGAAGCUCGGGCUGGUAAAACCAGCUGAAUUCAAAAGCAGCUCAAACCAUCACCUCACAAUCUCAAACCACCAUCAACACGUAGAUCUCCAUACGAUCGACGCGAAUCCGAUGGUGAUCGACAUAGAAAACAAUCCAUGGAGCGCAAAUCUGGAGAAGAACUCCUGAGGCGCAUGAAGUUGUGAGAGGCGAGAGAGAAUAUUUGGUGGCGUGAACCUUGAAUGGUUGAUAAGCAGGCACCCUAACGUACUUAUAAGAGGAUAAAAAUUGGGUAGACGGCUGCGAUUUCUUAAUUAUCAUCGUGAUCGACGGCUGGUGUUGAUCAUGUGGUUCGGUAGAUUUGGCGGUGGCGUAACCAUACACGUACCCUGAUGAGCUGGAGACAGAGAAAGCACACCCCAUUUUAUUGACCAUAUCAAACACGACAUGUAGUUUUUUUGGCCGCCUCGAUAGGUUGUUUGGUGGGAAUCGGAUUCAAUUUUUAUGCAAAUAUCUAUUUUGUCGAGAUAGAAUUCACGACCAUAUCUGGAUUCUAUCUUUAUUAGAAAGAUAAUACAAAUUAUGGUAUAAAUAAACUAUAAAAAUAACAUUUUUAUUUUAUUACUAUAAUUUUGGUUGGUUCUAGAUUAUUCGAUAUAUAUGGGCUAAUGGUUUCUUCAUUGUUGGGCCUUAAGAAUAUACAGAUAUUUUGAUAUAAGUACGCAUUAUUUUUUAAUUUUUUUAAUCAAAUAUCCAUGUCUUUUAGUAAUUUGAUUAAACUUUUUUUUGUCAUAAUAUUGGUGCUAUAUGCACAUUAUAUUGUAACAAAUUUCAUAUAAUCUAGCUUUUUGAUUACACUCUUCUUCGUUAGAGAUAAUUGUAAAAAUAAAAAAAAGUUGGUUAGAUUCAAUUUAUUUUCACAAUAAUGUUACAAUUUAGCAAUAAUUAUCUACGAUUUAAGAUAUUUUCUUUUCAAAAUAGUUUAAAUAUUUUUAAUCCCCAAAAAUCAAACAUACCGAAAUAAGUUUUUCUUUUAGUACAUUAAGAGAAAAUAGGAUUGAGAAUAAUAUAAACGUACCAAUAUAAAAAAUAAAAAUAAUGUACCAAUAUUAAUAAUAUGUAUCAAAUCAAACAUACAGAAAUUGCAAAUAAACAUAUCAAUUAAUGAUUUUUGUAAAUUCAAAUGUACCCUCAGAUAAUAUAUAUAUGUAAUGUAUCGUACCUAAUAAUAAUUCGUCAACAACUAUACUUAAAAAACAACCAAAAAUAUAUAUAUAAUUUCACAAAAAAAUUGAAAAAAUUACACGGAGCUUUUUAUGUUGAUCACCAACUAUUUGAAAAAGAAAAAACCAUUUGAAAAUUUAAAUAAUAUUAAAUGUUUGCAUAACAAAAAAAAAAUUGUGAUCGAAAAAACAUAUUUGGAAGAAGAAAAAAUAUAGUUUAAUUACUAAUAUUUCCACUAAAUAAGAAAAAGUGCAUCAUACAGAUAAAAUGAUAAAUUCAAAAAAUAUUUUAAUUUUAAAGAAUAGAGGUAACCAUUGGUCAAAGCACUUUAAUCAAAUUUUAAAAAGACAUAGAUGUUUAAUCCAAAUUAUAUAGAAAAACUAUAGGGAAUUCUAAUUUUCCCAAUAAUAUAUUGGGCCAUUGGUUUUUUGUCAAAGGAUAGAAUUGUAUUAAUAAUCAAAUACGAAUGGAAACAUUUGCAUCUUCAGCUAUAAUAUUAAACAAAAAUUGAGGUCCUAAUUCAUCCCAACCAUAGCGCCCACCAUGCUUAAGAACGUACGCCACCACCAUAUGGGUUGCAUGUCGAGGGGUAAAGAUAAACUUCACCAAUUGGAAUGACUGCAUAAUAUUCCAAAUAUCAACUAAAUAAACCUCCAUCAACACAUCAACUUGAAUCUCCUUAUUUAACAUUUGAACCAAUCCUUUUGAAUCAGACUCCACCUUCGGGUCGAAUUCAAGAAUUCAGCUUUGUAUUUUUAACUUUCGGUCUGAUGAUAUUUCGUUUUACUUGAAAGUUAGAGGUCUUACGUUCGAUUCGUUCGAAUAUCGUGGAUGGUGAAUUCAAUAUCAAAUUGGAUUACCCAUUAUGUAACUUUGCCAAACUCCACCUCCUAUUAUUGUCAAAAUAUCGAUGUAGUAAAAAAAAAUUUUAAACCUAUCAUUAUCACCAUCAACCUUAUUAUUUGACAAACUAUUGUAUUUUGUUUUUUUUUUUAAUAAUUUUGAAAUUAAUUUUGUACAAUCUAUCUUAUUUUUAUGUGUACAUACAUUUUGAUGUAAAUAAUUCAUUUCAUGCAAAGAGGAUCUGCAUGAGAAGAAGAGCCGUAUAGAAUUGUAAAGAGAGAGAGCCUGCGAGUGAGCUUUGAGGGUACACUUCGAGGCCCAACUUUUUUUUUCCAAUCCUUGUUCAGUUGAAAUUUACCUAUUUAUUUGACUGUUAAAAAUAGAAUUGAAUAGACAAGAAUUAGUUAAGCUUUGUAAGACAAGACAUUAAUGCAUGUCUAACGAGCGGCUAUAUAACUCACGUUUUUGUGAAUUUAUAAUCCAUCAUAUUUAGCUCAUAUAUUUUUUUUACAACUCAAGUCUAUUUUAAUUAAUCACAACCUAUCCUAACCAAUCCACCAAACAUACCCAAUGCCCACACACCCUAUUAAAUUAAAUGUUAAACUAGUCACCGAUGAAAUUUAAAUAUAAAGACUCAGCAUCUUUCCAACACUAUAAUACAAGACCACUUGCUAAAAUAACAUUAAAAAACAAUUUGUACAAGACCACUUGCUAGAAUAACAUUAAAAAACAAUUUGUUUUGAAUGUAAAGACUCAAAAUCUUUCCACCACGGUAAUACAAGACCACUUGCUAGAACAACAUUAAAAAACAAUUUGUUGUAAAUGGUGAGACGGAUACCAAUUUAUUUUUCCAAUUUGCUGUAAAAUAUAAUUUUGCAUUAAAAAAAGGGUAAAUUACAUAGUAACCCCUCAGAUUUGAGGUCUAUUACAACCUCAUACAACAUCUUUAAAACAUUUCACUUUCAUACUUCACGUACUAUUUUAUUACAAUCUCAUACAAUCUCUUUAAAACAUUUCACUUUCAUACCUUAUGUAUUAUUUUAUUUCAACAUAAUACCUCUGUUAGAUUUUUCAUCCAUUAAUCCGUUAAAUCCUGACGUGGCUGCCACAUUUGUGCUGAUGUGGCUGCCAUGUGGCAAUUUUUUUUUUUUUUUUAUAUGUACAUUAAAAAUAUUAUAAUAUUAACCCUAUUAAAAAAAAAGAAACUCAAACCCAAAAAUCCUUCCCCGCAACACCACAUCCCACCCCCACCCCUUACCCAUCUCUUCCUUCCCGUCCCUCCAUCCCCUCCACCCGAGCACCCCUCAGCUCGGGUCCCACCUUGACCUCUCUCUCUCUCUCCCCCUCCCUCUCUCUCUCUUCUGUAAAAUGUGGAAUGGUUUUUGAGGUCUAGUGCCUCGCCUCCCUCCCUCCUCCUGGACCCUUCCAACCUCGACCUCUCCUGCCUCGCCUCCCUCAACCUCCUGUCAUGUAUAUUAUAAUAUUAUAAUAUUUUUAAUGUAUAAAAAAUUAUUAUUUUUACCACAUGGCAGCCACAGCAGCACAAAUGGGCUGUCAUGUCAACAUUUAACGGAUUAAUAGAUGAAAAAUCUAACCGAUGUAUUAUGUUGAAAUAAAAUAAUACAUGGAGGUAUGAAAGUGAAAUAUUUUAAAAAGAUUGUAUGAGAUUGUAAUAAAUUUCAAACCUGAGGUGUUACCAUAUAAUUUACCCAAAAAAACCAAAACAACAAAACAGACAGCAAAAAGGUAAACAGAAUGCAUACCGAAAAAUCACCAAACAACAUCAAAUCAUAUAACGAAAAAUUCAUAGCAAAUCUGGAUGGAUUCGAACCACCAACCUCUCAAAAGCCCAGUCAAGGACCUUGAGCGCUCUACCAUUUUUGAGCUUACAGAUCUUCAUUUCAAGCAACGAGCAGGAGGCCGAAAUCGAUCAACAAAGUUUAACUUCUGAAUUUUCCAGCUUAAUUCUUUUCAGUAAGAAAUUUACAGUACAAGCAACUACUUGUCGACUUACGUUAUGUACAUAUGGUACAUCUAUUUAAAUGGGGGUAGUAGUCUACCAAAAAAAAAAAUCUAAGUUAAGCCCCGCAAUAAACCAACAAUAAUGUUGAGCCUUUGCAUAAUGAUGUUAGUUCAAAUCCCACAGUAAUCAACUUGGAGUCAAUUUAAGGCAAUUUAAGGCAAUUCAAGGCAAGCAUCCUUCCAUGAUGAAAAAAUGUUGAGCCUUUACAUAAUGAUGUUAGUUCAAAUCCCGUCGGUGACCAACCUAAAAUUUAAUCUUACAAAAUCUAUUACUUGACCAAAAUAAAAUAUAAUUUUAAGGUCCCCCAAAAAUUUAGGGCAUCCCUUUUCUCGUCUGAUAUAUAGAUCCAAAAAUUAACUUCUCCGAAGGCAUAAAAAAUACAAGUGUUCUAAGCAGAGCAACUAUUCCCCUCAAAAUUAACUUCUCCGAGGGCAUAAAAAAACAAGUGUUCCAAGCAAAGCAACUAUUCCCCAGCCCAAAAACAAAUUAUGCUGUUUCAAUUUUACAAUUAACUUGCAGUAACAAAUGAUUCCUGCAAAUUUUUAGCUUUAAGAUUUAUUUGGAUUUACUUUUAAAAUGAUUGAAAAAUGACUAAGAAUUGGUUCUAAAAAAUGACUAAAAAUACUUUCAGAAAAAAUAUUUUUUUGUUCCAAAAACACUUGAAAUACUUUCCGGAACAAGCACAUAUUGUGCUUCUUACAGGAAGCAAUUUAAAUGUAAAUGUUUUUUUUUCAGAAUUUACUUACAUUUUUACUACGAAUUGGUUACAAAAACAUUUUCACCAAAAACGCUUUCAAUCAUUUUAAAACCACAUCCAAACGAGCUUAGUUAAAGAGGUUGCAUCAUAUAAAGGAAGACAUCAUGAACUAAACGCCACCUUCUGUAAGUAAUAGUAAAUAGAAACUACAUAAUACAAACAUUGAACAACUACGCGGAGCUGUUUGAAAAAUAACCAAAAUCAUAACCCCUAAUUGUGAAUCGGGCAAUAUCAACAGACCACAAUUUGAUCUAUCAUCCAAGUACUAUAAAAACAACCCCAGUUUAACGAUAAUUCCUCCGCAAUUCCAUACAAACAACAAAACCAAGGGAAUAUAUUCAAUCUAAACUCUUUUAACAAAUGAAUAGAAUAAAUAAAUGAUAAUGCCAACACCUAUGAAUGAUCAAUCGCAAUGACUUGAAUCACAAAACGUAAAUUAACCGAAAACAUUACUUGCCAAUACUUCAAAAGCUUCUUGUAAAUUAACAGAAAACAUUACUUGCCAAUACUUAAAAGCUUUAGUUUCAUUGGUCACCUCAAAUCCUCAGAAAAGAGGUUGUCACGAAAAGAACUUCUGGACCUAUCCCACAACCAAGCAGCUUGUAUUUGAGCCGAAAUUUAGUUUAACUUGUAAUUGUGAUGAGAGGCUUCGUUCUGGCCAUUCGGGCUCGUCGAGCAGUAAUCUUCCGGCAUCAAAUCUCCCUAGAAUCAUCUAAUUGGAAUACAAUGCAUGGCUUACAGCAAUGGAAUCCAAAACCAACAUAAUUACAUAAUAUUACAAAGAUCCAUCAACUAACAGAUCUCACAAUAUCUAAUAACAUCCGUUAUAAACAAAUAUUAAGGCAAAGGCCAACAAUUUAGAUGAUAAUCUCAUCCUCAGCUCAUAGAAUUUGUACUACCAUAACAUUAAUAACGAGGCAAUAAACAGUGCAGAAGAGACUUUGGUAUCAUAAGAAUGACUUGUAAAAGUAAGCAGGAACGAAUCGGAGGUUUCGAGAAUUGUUUAGAAGGAUGAUAUAAGUACGUUUGUGCAUAAGUAGACAGAGAAAUUACCAACUAUAUCAAACAAAGUUUUGAUUCCAAAUUAUUUCUGUCCUUUCUUAUUCCAAACAAAGUUUUGAUUCCAAAUUAUUCCAAAUCGUUUGUGCAUAAGUAGACGGAGAAAUUACCAACUAUAUCAAACAAAUUAUUCCACGAUACAAUAAAUUUGCUUACUUUGAAGUCAAAAUGAUUGAAAACAAUUUGGAAUAAUUUGAGGUUGAUUGAACAACUCCACAGAUUGUAAGCAUUAUCAAUCAAUUACCAAGUUCCAAUUAACAUAUUUUAUAUUGUGCUUACAAAAUUAGAUAAAACUCAUUGAUUGAGACAAUUUGAGCAAGAAACUAAUUAAUUGAUUGUGCAAGUGAUUAUAUGUUCCCUGUGUGAGUGGCAGGCUUUAUUUAGCUUUAUUAGAUUGAUGAAAUCAAUUGAAAUAGAUUUAGAUAGAUUAAUACCUUUGACGACGAGAUAUCGAUGCGGCCGCAGUUGUCCAGAAUCCAUGUCCGACUGUUUGCGAUUGGGGGCGAGCAAAAAUAAGAGAC